GGUUGUAAUCAGCUGGUAAUGUUUUGACAGUAAAAUGAACUUCUGUUGUAUGUUUUUAUACAUAAUUGAACAUUUUGAUAAGAUUUAAUAAAACUACAUAAUUUUGUGGUGUUGGGAAACUUAUUUCCCUCACCAGGAGAUUGUUGCAUACAUGUACGGGUGAUCACUUCCAGACAGAGGCAGUUACAAAUUCUGUACCGGAAUGAGGAUUAUUUAUAAGACUGAAAUUAUUGUAUUAUUUGCUGGAAAUGUGGAAUAUGAGGAAUUUAAAGCCAUCCGUGAGUAGUUUUUGAUGAUUCAACUGGACAAAUGCUGGAAAUCAUACAGUUUUCUCCCACCUUAAAACAGUACAUGGUAUAUCAUGGACACCAAAAGCAAAGAAAGAUCUAAAUGCCAUAAUUUUGGGCAUCUUGAAAACUGGAAAGGCGUAUCACUUUGAAGCAGAUGAUAGUUAUAGUGUAUAAAAGAAUUCUUUGCAACAGUUAUACCAGUUGGAACAGGUAAUAGUUUAAAUUAUGGAAGUUUAAAAUUACUUCUGGGAUAAAUUGAUACAAAAAGGCAUCAAUCAAAUCUGGGACUAUUAUACUACACAGCUACUUUUGCAUAGGUACUAUUUCUGUACUAAAAAUCUGUAGUACUAGAAAUUUACUUUUAAUAUUCAGUACUAUUUUAUCACUUUAAAAAAUAUUGUAAUAUUUAGGUACCUGUAUUUUACAGUACUUGAUUUGUACUUAAAAUUUAGGUACUACAAAUUUUAGGUUACUACCGUUACAUUUUCAGCAUUUUGAAAGUUUUUCUAUUUCACAUCUCUUAAAACUAUGAUUUUCAAACAUGGAAUAUUGUAUCAUUUCUGUACCAAAAUAUUUAGUACAAAUCAAGUACUGUAAAAUACAAGUACCAAAAUAUUACAAUAAUUUUAAAGUAAAUAAAUAGUACUGAAUAUUUAAAGUAAAUUUCCAGUACUACAUAUUUUUAGUACAGAAAUAGUACAUAUGCAAAAGUAGCUGUGUAGUAUAAAAAAAGUCCCAGAUCAAAGCAUUCAGAAGAUUAAAUGAAUUUUACUUAACAUGUCUUUAUUAAAUUGAAUUAGAAUUGAAUUAUUGUGUGAAUUUUCUAGACACAUUAUAUAUUGUUGUUUGAUGCUGCUUCAUUUUGAAAACUAGAAGUCAUUUACCAAUUACAAUGUUUUCCCAACUGACAAUCAUGAGGUCUGUUUAAUAAUCUCAAUAAAUCCCCCCUUUCCCCCAUAUUUUUAGUAACAAUGUGAAAUUAUUAUCUGAAAAUUUAUGAUCUGUGCUGAAUGCAAUUUUAUACAAUUUUAUUCAUCAUGUUCAAACAUUAUUAAUUUGAAUAGGAUAAUAAUAUAAAAUUAAAAAAAAAUAAAACUAUCAGACUCAAAAGUUACAAAAAAAAAGAAGAUGUGGUAAUACCACAGUGGUAUGAUCAUGAUGAUUGCCAAUGAGAAAAUCACAUGUACAUCUACAUGUAUCCUCCAUAUACACAACAGACCAUGUCACCUUAUUUAUUAUGUUUAUCAUGUUUAUCAUUAAUAUGUACAUGUAUAUGUACAUGUACCAAAAUGAAAGUACAUCAUGUACAUGUAAGCAACUACAAAUGAAUACAUUUGUAUAUAUACAUGUAGAAUAGAUACAUGUAUAAAAAAAGGGGUAUGAGUGUCCAAUGAUACAACUCUCCAUCCAAGUCACAACUUACAAUGACUUAUAAAAGUAAAGACAAUCAUACAGUUAUCAGGAUAGUCAUAUAUGUUUAUGUCAGAUAUACAUGUAAACAGGAAGCUUAAUUUGUUAAAAAGCAGGAGCAAAUUGUUGCUUUUUAAAUUAUGAGAGUCAAAUUUAAAUUUCUGUAAUUUUGAUUGCUACAUAUACAGUGUACCUAUAUUUUAUGACAUAUGAAAGACACACAUAUAUUGAAAAGUGGUUAUCAUGAUUACAUAUAUAUUUAUUUAUAAAAAUAAAACUUGUAUAUCAAAUCUUAAGAUAAUUAGAUUCUUAAUCCACUAUUUAGAUGGGAACUUUUGGGACAGCAAUACCUUUGUAUCAUAAAAUUGUUGUUUAUUGUCCUUCGUGUCCUUAGAAACUAAAUUAGACAUGUGAUAUAUACAUGAUACAAUUGCAAGGAUUUCAAACUUUUAACAUUUAGUUCAAAACUGAAAAAAAUAUUUUAAAAUUAGCACAUUUUGAGAUCUUGUCAUUAGAAUUUAGAUACAUUUGUACAUGUACAUGUGUGAUCCUGAAACGCAUAACAUAUAAGGUUAAUUUGACUCAAAUAUAUCAAGUAAACUUGUAAAGUAAUAAGUAAAUCACAAUUUACCUUUCUGCUCUAAAGUGUUCAUUUAGAUCAUUUUGUACAUUAACCUGUCCAUUUAAAAAUAGAAUUAAUCAUACAAAAAAGUCUUGUAACUUUGAAAGGUUGAAUAAGUUUUCUAUGUUUUAAUGUAGUAAGAUGCUAACAGAUCAUUAUAUAUUUUUGACCGGUUCUUAAGAUAAGAAAAUAAUUAAUUUGAUAUUAAAUACAAUUUCCAAAUUCAAUUCAAAGAAUAAUUGAUCACCUUAUAAUCUGUUUUUUUUUUAAACAGAUAAAAGAUACAUCAGAUGACAGAC
Molecule: long non-coding RNA, 2621 nt
Filed under: Mytilus galloprovincialis (Mediterranean mussel)
Lineage: Eukaryota; Metazoa; Mollusca; Bivalvia; Mytilida; Mytilidae
Source: RNAcentral